UGAGAUGAAGAAAACGCUUGCAGUCUACGAAGAGGAUCUGGAAUAUUCUGAGUUCACUGAGGACACAGGAGAUAUGAAAGACGCUACAGUAGAUCAAUAUGACUGGGCGUCUGUGGAGUCUGUGGAUGACUGGCUUUGGUUAAAAUUAAACAAGACAAAUGUGUUGGAACAACAGGAGGAGGACCAACCAGUUUUGCCGCCCUGAGGCACGGUUCAGUUUGAGCUAUAAACAGGGUUUUAAAAUAA
This is a long non-coding RNA of Periophthalmus magnuspinnatus, 246 nucleotides long. RefSeq lists it as uncharacterized. Lineage: Eukaryota; Metazoa; Chordata; Actinopteri; Gobiiformes; Gobiidae. The transcript has 3 exons. The record is from RefSeq and is a predicted model, not a curated record.